AUUGAACGCUGGCGGCAGGCCUAACCCAUGCAAGUCGAACGAGUGGCGGACGGGUGAGUAAUGUCUGGGAAACUGCCUGAUGGAGGGGGAUAACUACUGGAACCGGUAGCUAAUACCGCAUACCAUCGGAUGUGCCCAGAUGGGAUUAGCUAGUUGGUGGGGUAAAGGCUCACCUAGGCGACGAGCCCUAGCUGGUCUGAGAGGAGGACCAGGCACACUGGAACUGAGAGACGGGCCAGACUCCUACGGGAGGCAGCAGUGGGGAAUAUUGCACAAUGGGCGCAAGCCUGAUGCAGCCAUGCCGCGUGUAUGAAGAAGGCCUUCGGGUUGGAAAGUACUUUCAGCGAGGAGGCGUUACCCGCAGAAGAAGCACCGGCUAACUCCGUGCCAGCAGCCGCGGUAAUUC
Molecule: ribosomal RNA, 406 nt
Filed under: uncultured bacterium
Lineage: Bacteria
Description: partial 16S ribosomal RNA
Rfam family: Bacterial small subunit ribosomal RNA
Source: RNAcentral